CUGCCAGCCCUGCUGUGUCCGGGGCCACCCUCUGCCGCGAGGACUCCGCCAUCUGGGCGAGGCCCUCGAGGUCCCUGGGCAGGACAUGAGCCAUCAACCCUGGCCUGCUGAUCCCCGGCAUCACCCCUCCUGUGGACUGAGAAACUGAGGCCCAAGCAGGCCUGGGACUGGUCCAAGGCACCUAAGGAGACAGUGGCAGAGCCAGCCCUGGAAACCGCCUUUCCUGCCCAUGGCCGGUGAUGGCCUCUGCCAGUGAAGCAGAAUCCGGUUCUGGAGAGCAGGUAACAGAACAUUCCACCGUCCCCUGCCCUUCCAAGGGAGCUCUUUGUCAUCCUGCCUCUCUCCCCGCAAAGUCCCACAGAAAACCAGUAUAGGGGUCGGGGGGCUCCCCUAGGGCCACUGGGAAGAAGCAUAACUGACCUCACUUCCUCGUAUUUCUUGUCUCGGUAAAAGUUGCUCUUUUUGAUGAAGUAGAUGAGCACCAGGUCACAGAAGAAAGACCCCUGCACAAGAGUUAGGGUCCGACUCAGAAUCCUAGACUUGGAGAGAGCACCCAGCCACAUCCCAUUUGACCUCCUGCAACAAGCCCUGAGAGACGGAGAUGUUGGCUGAGAAAGCGGCACCUUUGUGGAGGUCACAAAGCUGGUCCAUGGUAGAGCCAGAGUGAGCCCAGUCCGUCUGAUCCCUCAGGCCAAGCACCCCUGCACGGCCCUGACCCCAUCGCACGCAGCCCGUUUGCUGAGCAUGCACCAGUGCCAGGCGCUGCCCUGGGGCGCAGGGGGCAGGGGUAGGACAAUGAGCCUCUCUGGGGACGCCCCUCUGGUCCGGGAGACAAGCACGUAAGUUAUGACAGAGGAACAUGCCCUGUGAUGGGGAGAGGAAUGGGGCGGGGGAGGGGACAGAGAAAACGGGACUUUCUGAGCCUGGGGAGGGACAUUUGGCUGAGUGUAGACUAAACAGGAUUUUAUAUAAGACCAAAGGAAGGCCUGGGAAUAGAGGCAGGAAACAGAAUUGUGGCAUUUGGGGACAGAGAGGUGGGUUGGAGGGUGAGUGAACACGGCCAGCACAGCAGUGUUCAGGGAACGAGGAAGAGGCCUGGCCUGAGGCGGUGGCCCCAUAGACACUUGACCUCUUCAGAGCAGAGUGGGUGGUGCAGAUACCGCUCUCCUCCACCAGAGGGCACUCCACCCACAGCAGAGAGCGGGGCCGGCUCGGAGGGGUUGAUGGACAGCCCCACAGGUGAACCCGGUCCUCUGACCCUGGGCAUUGCACACCUUUUUGUUCCCCGGAUGCCAAAAAUGUUAUCAAUUCUUCGUUCCACAGAGAACACACCUCCCAUCCGCACCCGCCCCCAGCCUCUACCACCCUGGUAGCCCAGUUACCUUCCAGGUGUGUCCCCCAGGUGCCCUGUGUCUGGUUUACCCACAUCACGAGAAAGUGAUGGCUGAAGGUGACCCCUCUCUAGGGAAGUUACAAAUACAAACAUGCAAGGCUCCCCCGACAUUGUCUGCAGUUGAGUCCUUUGGGGCCACUUUUCUCUACCAGCCACCUCUCAGGAGUGUGGCCUCUUUGGUCCUGUUACAGGACAGUUUUCUUGGUCUUAAUAAAAAGUCUGUCCUGGGU
Long non-coding RNA from Phacochoerus africanus (Common warthog), 1623 nucleotides. RefSeq lists it as uncharacterized. The record is from RefSeq and is a predicted model, not a curated record. Lineage: Eukaryota; Metazoa; Chordata; Mammalia; Artiodactyla; Suidae. The transcript has 2 exons.